This 434-nucleotide ribosomal RNA is filed under the name uncultured Clostridium sp. RNAcentral's name for it is "partial 16S ribosomal RNA". It matches the Rfam family "Bacterial small subunit ribosomal RNA", at positions 341 to 792 of the family's 1533-position model. The record is from RNAcentral. Lineage: Bacteria; Bacillati; Bacillota; Clostridia; Eubacteriales; Clostridiaceae.
ACGGAAGGCAGCAGUAAGGAAUAUUGGGCAAUGGGGGAAACCCUGAUGUAGCGACGCCGCGUGAGUGAUGAAGUAUUUCGGUAUGUAAAGCUCUAUCAGCAGGGAAGAAAAUGACGGUACCUGACUAAGAAGCACCGGCUAAAUACGUGCCAGCAGCCGCGGUAAUACGUAUGGUGCAAGCGUUAUCCGGAUUUACUGGGUGUAAAGGGAGCGUAGACGGCAUGGCAAGCCAGAUGUGAAAGGCAGGGGCUCAACCCCUGGACUGCAUUUGGAACUGUCAAGCUAGAGUAUCGGAGAGGUAAGUGGAAUUCCUAGUGUAGCGGUGAAAUGCGUAGAUAUUAGGAGGAACACCAGUGGCGAAGGCGGCUUACUGGACUGUAACUGACGUUGAGGCUCGAAAGCGUGGGGAGCAAACAGGAUUAGAUACCCUGGUA